GACGAACCGUGCGAACGUUGUUCGGAAUCACUGGGCUUAAAGGGCGCGUAGGCGGGCGGGCAAGUCAGGGGUGAAAUCCCACGGCUCAACCGUGGAAGGGCCCUUGAUACUGCCCAUCUCGAGGGAGGUAGGGGCGUGCGGAACUUCCGGUGGAGCGGUGAAAUGCGUAGAUAUCGGAAGGAACACCGGUGGCGAAAGCGGCUCACUGGUCCGGUACUGACGCUGAGGUGCGAAAGCGUGGGGAGCAAACAGG
RNAcentral lists this ribosomal RNA (253 nucleotides) under uncultured bacterium. Its description in RNAcentral is "partial 16S ribosomal RNA". It matches the Rfam family "Bacterial small subunit ribosomal RNA", at positions 524 to 776 of the family's 1533-position model. The record is from RNAcentral.